This 71-nucleotide transfer RNA is filed under the name Loxodonta africana (African savanna elephant). It matches the Rfam family "tRNA". From Rfam's summary of the family: Transfer RNA (tRNA) molecules are approximately 80 nucleotides in length. Their secondary structure includes four short double-helical elements and three loops (D, anti-codon, and T loops). Further hydrogen bonds mediate the characteristic L-shaped molecular structure. tRNAs have two regions of fundamental functional importance: the anti-codon, which is responsible for specific mRNA codon recognition, and the 3' end, to which the tRNAs corresponding amino acid is attached (by aminoacyl-tRNA synthetases). tRNAs cope with the degeneracy of the genetic code in two manners: having more than one tRNA (with a specific anti-codon) for a particular amino acid; and 'wobble' base-pairing, i.e. permitting non-standard base-pairing at the 3rd anti-codon position. The record is from Rfam by way of RNAcentral. Lineage: Eukaryota; Metazoa; Chordata; Mammalia; Proboscidea; Elephantidae.
GCAGUGGUCGUUCAGUGGUAGAAUUCUUGCGUUCCAUGCAGAAGACUUGGGUUCAGUUCCCAAGCACAGCU